CGCUGUUUAAGACGGUUCGACAGUUCGAUCUGAAUUGAAGUGAGGGAGCAGCGAAAAUAUACUCCAGUCAGUUGUUGAAGACACGUGCUUGGUGGCGCGGACAACUAAAUCGGAAGAACAAGAAAUAAGUAAUCUUUGGAGUAAUUACCUGAAAUAUUACUGCGGAAAUGUAAUUGCAAAGGUAAGCCUGGAAAGCUUAACAACUGAAAACAAGAAGAUGGCGUCUAGAAGGACCAUAUGGGGUUUCUUAAUUGCUUUCU
Molecule: long non-coding RNA, 260 nt
Organism: Stylophora pistillata
Lineage: Eukaryota; Metazoa; Cnidaria; Anthozoa; Scleractinia; Pocilloporidae
Source: RefSeq, a predicted model, not a curated record